RNAcentral lists this ribosomal RNA (519 nucleotides) under uncultured eukaryote. RNAcentral's name for it is "SSU rRNA". It matches the Rfam family "Eukaryotic small subunit ribosomal RNA", at positions 1161 to 1698 of the family's 1831-position model. The record is from RNAcentral.
AGGGCACCACCAGGAGUGGAGCCUGCGGCUUAAUUUGACUCAACACGGGAAAACUCACCCGGCCCGGACACUGGAAGGAUUGACAGAUUGAGAGCUCUUUCUUGAUUCAGUGGGUGGUGGUGCAUGGCCGUUCUUAGUUGGUGGAGUGAUUUGUCUGGUUAAUUUCGAUAACGAACGAGACUCUAGCCUAUUAAAUAGAUCGUUGGCUUACAAACGCCGGCGAGACUUCUUAGAGGGACAGGCGGCGAUUCAGCCGCACGAAACAUAGCAAUAACAGGUCUGUGAUGCCCUUAGAUGUCCGGGGCCGCACGCGCGCUACACUGAAGUGAUCAGCGUGCAUUUUGAAACCUACUCUGUCAAGAGUGGGGAACCCAAUGAACCUUCUUCGUGAUUGGGAUAGGGGAUUGUAAUUAUUCCCCUUGAACGAGGAAUUCCCAGUAAGCGCGAAUCAUAAGUUUGCGCUGAUUACGUCCCUGCCCUUUGUACACACCGCCCGUCGCUACUACCGAUUGAAUGUUU